UCUUAGCUCAGUUGGUAGAGCGAUAGGUUCGCAAUCUAUAGGUCAGGAGUUCGAAUCUCCUAGGGUC
Molecule: transfer RNA, 67 nt
Filed under: bovine gut metagenome
Rfam family: tRNA
About the family: Transfer RNA (tRNA) molecules are approximately 80 nucleotides in length. Their secondary structure includes four short double-helical elements and three loops (D, anti-codon, and T loops).
Source: RNAcentral